UAAAGAUUCAUCGCUGAUAGAUAGGCAUGCGUUCCAUUAGGCAGUUGGCGGGGUAACGGCCCACCAAACCGACGAUGGAUAGGGGUUCUGAGAGGAAGGUCCCCCACAUUGGUACUGAGACACGGACCAAACUCCUACGGGAGGCAGCAGUGAGGAAUAUUGGUCAAUGGGCGUAAGCCUGAACCAGCCAAGUCGCGUGAGGGAUGAAGGUUCUAUGGAUCGUAAACCUCUUUUAUAAGGGAAUAAAGUGCGGGACGUGUCCCGUUUUGUAUGUACCUUAUGAAUAAGGAUCGGCUAACUCCGUGCCAGCAGCCGCGGUAAUACGGAGGAUCCGAGCGUUAUCCGGAUUUAUUGGGUUUAAAGGGUGCGUAGGCGGCCUUUUAAGUCAGCGGUGAAAGUCUGUGGCUCAACCAUAGAAUUGCCGUUGAAACUGGGAGGCUUGAGUAUGUUUGAGGCAGGCGGAAUGCGUGGUGUAGCGGUGAAAUGCUUAGAUAUCACGCAGAACCCCGAUUGCGAAGGCAGCCUGCCAAGCCAUGACUGACGCUGAUGCACGAAAGCGUGGGGAUCAAACAGGAUUAGAUACCCUGGUAGUCCACGCAGU
RNAcentral lists this ribosomal RNA (601 nucleotides) under uncultured bacterium. Its description in RNAcentral is "bacterial SSU rRNA". It matches the Rfam family "Bacterial small subunit ribosomal RNA", at positions 202 to 803 of the family's 1533-position model. The record is from RNAcentral.